ACCACACGCCAGCAAGUAGGAGCUUAUGGAAGCUGUGGUUUUCCCUUGAGCACUUCUCCUGCAAUCAAAAACACCUUAAAUUGAUUACCUUUGGCUGGACUGUGAACAGACUGCCAUACUUUUGACCGAAACAACCCUCUCCCAAACAAAGUGGCCAAGAUGGCAGGGUGGAGAUAUUCCCUGGAGCUACAGUGGGUGAACUUAUAUUGCCUCCAAAGAUACUGGAAAAAUCACAAGUGGUGUAUUAAUAUUCCAACAAUCUUACAAGACAUGCAUUCUUAUAAUUAUGUUGUAUGAAUACCUUAAGCAGAUACGUUUCUGGCACUGUGGAAACUGCAAGUGAAGACAGAAGGACAAGCAAUUUUGAAAUGUCUGGACAGUUACAAUGCCAAUGAGAAUCUGCAGUCAUGCCGUUGCCUGAGCUGUUCCCCUCUCUCAGCCUCUAGGAAAGCUAGUCCCUGGCCUUUGUUCCACCACCUUGAAAACUUGUUUAACUGCCCCAUACCAAAAAGAUCCCAGCAAAAAUGGCCAUCCCCCAGCUUGUGGGAGCUUUAUUUACAGCUCCAAUUACAGCAUGUGGGAGCCAUUUUAAUCAGGAGUGCAGCUGCAGAGGUAGAGUCUCUGUGUGCUGCUGUCAUGAUAAUCAUCUUGGCCCUUGUGCACCUGAUUAAAAGGGGGGUAAUUGGUGUCCCACGCUGUUAGUGCACUAUGUGGUCAGGUGCCUCAGUCAGUGGCUAUUUUGCUCCUCUGUCCAUGUUUUUUCUAGAGACGAUGACCGUAACACUUGACCUAAUUAAAUGUUAAAUAGGGACACAUUUGUGGCACCAUGAUCUUUAACAGAGCAUUCCUGGCAGGUCCAGCGCCUGCAGUUGUGGGACCCAGCACCCUGACGCAGCCACAGAUAGCAGGGCAGGAGCUCCCAGGCAACACACACACACAUACGAUACAGGCGGCAUGGAAUUUCAAUAAUCUUGCCCAUCCCACCUACUUCCCAUGUCAGUGCAUAUGCCCUGCAUGCUAUACACGCAUGCCUACCAUCACCCAAGAUGGUGGCAGGGGCAUCAACCCUUUAGGGACAUCCCUGCUGCCAUCUUGGAUGAUGGCAGGCAUGUGCACACACCUCACAGGGCGUGUACACUGACUUGCUGACACAGGAGGUAGUAAGGUGGGCAUGAUUAUGUAAGCCCCUCACCGCCUGCAUUGGGAGGGGAAGUUGGGGAGUACAAUGCUGCAGGUGUCAUGCCAGGUGCCAGCCCUGAUUCUUGGUUUAACUUACCAUGAACACACAAAAUUAUAUUUUCAAGGGCAUACAAAGAAAGGCUUCCAAAGAACACCCUUCAACUUUGGAAUUUGCUGCUCCUAGACCCAGGGCUGGGGCAAGACAUUUUGUUGCAUGAGGCAAAGUACAAGAUCGUGACCCCUCAUUCCAUGUAUAGAAUCUGGCUGGAAUGGCCAUUGAACCUUAGUUCAACACUAGUGAUGGGAGAGCAUUCUUCACCAUGCUUGAGGGGAGCAGGCUAACUUUCAAGGUGCAGUCUCCUCCAACAUCUGGCCACCACUCUCCGCCCCUCAGCAUCUGCUGCCUGAUGCAGCCGGUUUGCAAUUCCUAAUGGUAAAGCCAGACAAGUACAUCUUCCAGAAGUAGUGUAAGACUUUUUUAAAAAUUCAAGCUUGCUUUUGGGGGCUCGGGAUAGAGUAGAAAAUAUAUUGUGCUGUUACGUGUCCAAGGCCCUUGAGAUGGAUUGGGCUAUAAUUCCAAUUAAUCAGUCAAUCAACGAAAAAGGCUGCAAUCCUGCAGAACUCUAUUUGAAAGCAAGUUCAGCUGAAAUCAGUGUGACAUUUUCCCACAUAAAUGUGCUGAAAGUCCAACCUUUGUAUUAAUCACUGUUCUGCUGAAUCCAUCAUGGUAGCGCAAUAAAGGAAUUCAGAGAGAGAGUCUACAUUGACUGACAAUGUGACCUCCGAAUGAUCACCACUUAAUGAUUGUUUGGAGGAACAUGAUUCCUAGAUUUAGAGAUGGAUAAAGAUAAACACAUAAAGCCAGUGUGGUAUAGUGGUUAAGGUGUUAGACUAUGACCUGGGAGACCAGGGUUUGAAUCCCCACAUAGCCAUGAAGCUCACUGGGUGACCUUGGGCCAAUCAUUGCCUCUCAGCCUCAUGGAAACCCUAUUCAUAGGGUUACCAUAAGUUGGCAUCGACUUGAAGGCGGUACAUUUACAUUUUAAAAGAUAAACAGUACAGUAAUACCUCAGUUAACAAAUCCUCCAGGAAUGAAGCUCUUUUUAAGGAAGGAUUUUUAAAAGGUGGAAUUGACCAGCUUUGCUUUGCUAUGGAUAAACUUUCAAGCCUAUGCCUUCCCUUUCCAAGGGUGAAAGUGACAAGACUGUGUACUUGCUUUGCAUCAAAAAGAUAUCUUGUUUACUCCCAGGGCUGGAGAGAGAAGGAUACAAUACUAUUCAGAGGAGAAGACAGGAGGGGGAAGGAGAGGGAAUGGGUGGAUGCAAGGUAGGCACCCUUUAAAGCCCCUGUUGAAGCUGCCCCCACCAUCUAUGAGCGGGUGUAGAAACCUAUCCCUAUUUUUUCCAUGUUAUUUCUAUCUCUGGUACCAAAGUCUCUGUUAAAGAAGUAAUGUCCAUGAACGCAUCUACUUUGUUAACUGAGGUAUUACUGUAUUCUGUUCUGACAAAUCAUACUGAUGAAACUGAAUUCAUCACACACGCACAGCUGGUAAAUUAUGCUUAAUACAGUGAGAUGUAAAAACUCUAUAAAUAUAUUUUUACAGGAGCUCUGAGGUUGCCAAGUUAAAGAAAGUGAGCAGCAUUCUUAAUUGAAGAUAAAUGGCUGCUUGGAUGGCCUCCCCCUCCUCCCAAUCAGAUUAACCUCAAAAAGCAUCUUUAAAAUUCAAGUUUAAAAGACUGCUAAGGGAUAGCUUUGCCUCUCUUCAAAACUAAUAGCCACAGCUUACCACCUAUGCCCUACACAUGUGAAAUGUUUAAAAUAUUUGGCAGGAAUUUUUCUUCCCACAUUGGGCUAGGUUUACUCAGUGAACUCAAUGUGAGAUAAUCCAAAACAAUUUAGGUUCAGCAAAGGUUGGGAAAAUAUUGUAGCAAAACAUAGAGCUUGGCUGGAAGGCUUCUUUGAUCUUCAGAUUAUCAAGUGCACGGUUUCUAAUUUGACAAAUUUUUAGUGGCAAAGCAUAAUAUCUAAACAUUCCUCUUUUGUCAUAACAGUUUAAUCCCUUAAGACUGUGAUUUAAAAGCAUGGGGGAGGAAAGGUUGCCGCAAGAUUUGCAGGAAAUAGGAAACCUGCCUCAGACACCUAGGCUAAAAAAGAAAUAGCAAAGCUGUUAAAUUAUAUAACUAAAUGUUCUAUGUGAAUUGGCGAUAUCACUUCAUACUCAGUUUAGGUUAUAUCAAAUAUAAGUUGACUUCAAAGAGAAUUGUGCAGUAGAUGGAAUAUAAAAGCAGCAAUGUUUCAUCUUUUAAAACUUUCAGCUUGCAUUUCAAAUCACCCAGAUGGCAUGGCAAGAUCAAUACUAUCAAUAGCGAUAGAAUGGUUUGAUGUAAUUGAAGCCUAUUCCGUUCACACUAACCAACAAAUGUCUUUGAGAAGCAUUUACCUAAAAGAUUGCAAAGGAAAUUAAAGCAAUGACAAGAAUAAGAGUAGUAUCAUUGCACCUUAUCUAUAGGUCCAAGACGAAAUAGUAACAUUUGAUAAAAGGAACCAAAAUGUUUCUCACCUAAUUAUAUAAAGGGAAGUAGUUCUGGGACACUCAGUGGGUGAAUCAGAUUGAUGCUGAUGUCUCUGAAGAUGUUUCCUGUCAAUGUGACAGGUGGUCUUGUUGAUGCUGUGGUCCCUCGCUGGAAUUUGGAGAUAACUUAGGGCAGACAGUUACCCUAAAAAGUUGUCUCUGAACCAAGAGAACACAGUUGGCUCAAUGAGGAACAGCUUGGGCAAUAGGAGAGUCAUGAUGACUUUAACUGAUUGCAGGCUAAAGCCUAUCACUGAGGCAGCGAUGGCGGCAAAGAAAGCAUACAUUUCUCUGAACACUGCAUCUUCAAAAUGCCAUCCAACACUACUGUGCCAAGCUUGUACAUCUUGGUUCCAAGGGACAGAUAAUGGAACUCUCUGUGGCCUACCAUAACCAGAUUGCAAGGCAUUUUAUGGAUAAGUUAACUUGUUCCAGCAUGGACUAUGAAUUUAGAUAUGAAGGUCUGGAUGUAAUUGUGGCUUUCUCUUGUGUGCUUAUUUGGAUACUUUUCAGUUUCUGCAACCUGAGGAUGUGGACAGGAUUCCUCAAUAAUGAAAUCCGCCAUUGUAUGCUUGAUCCAUGCCCUUCCUGGCUUACUAGGGCAGCCAAGUGUACAUGGUGAAAACUUUCAGAGCUCCAAUAGCAAUAACCUCUAAAGUUGUUGUACCAGCUGGAGUAGCUAUGGUGGGGGGAUGAGCUAAAGAAGAUAUGUGGGCAUCCAUCCAGUUUGAUUCUGCACACACACACACACACACAAAUCCAAGUAUUGAUUGUGACCUGAAAAACCUUAUACAGCUUGAUGGCAUCUCCAUCCAAAUAACUCUCUGCUCCUGUAUAUAAAACCCCUCAUUUGUUGAAGCCCUGCUCCAUUCUAACCUUCAAGUUUAAGAGCUGGUGACCAGGGACAGGGCCUCAUGGUGGCCAACCAGAUGCCUAAAACUCUGUUUGCAGGUUCAUCCUGUUUCAUUGCUGAAUUAGUAAUGAAUGGUCUGUUUUAUUUCUUUACAUUUUUUAAAAUAAAUUGAUAAAUUGCUCUAUCCUGAAUAAGUAAAGCAGGCUGAAUCUACAAGAAGGAAACUUAAUUUUGCUCGGGAGAACCUUUGCUAAAGAAAACAAAGUUGUGAGGAAACAUAGGAGGAUAUUUGCCAUUGUGAAAGCCACUGCUAGAUAAUACAGUGCUAAGUUAACUUAUUGACCAUUUGAAUUUAUUUCUUACAGUGAGUUGUGUAAUUUUUUUCCCCUGUUCAUGUU
Molecule: long non-coding RNA, 5002 nt
Organism: Rhineura floridana
Lineage: Eukaryota; Metazoa; Chordata; Lepidosauria; Squamata; Rhineuridae
Exons: 4
Source: RefSeq, a predicted model, not a curated record